This 471-nucleotide ribosomal RNA is filed under the name uncultured Pelotomaculum sp. Its description in RNAcentral is "bacterial SSU rRNA". It matches the Rfam family "Bacterial small subunit ribosomal RNA", at positions 910 to 1382 of the family's 1533-position model. The record is from RNAcentral. Lineage: Bacteria; Bacillati; Bacillota; Clostridia; Eubacteriales; Desulfotomaculaceae.
UUGACGGGGCCCGCACAAGCGGUGGAGCAUGUGGUUAAUUCGACGCAACGCGAAGAACCUUACCAGGGCUUGACAUCCCCUGACCGCGUAUGAAAGUACGUUUUCACCCUCGGGUGACAGGGAGACAGGCGGUGCAUGGUUGUCGUCAGCUCGUGUCGUGAGAUGUUGGGUUAAGUCCCGCAACGAGCGCAACCCCUACGUUUAGUUGCUAACGCGUGAAGGCGAGCACUCUAGACGAACUGCCGUUGACAAAACGGAGGAAGGUGGGAUGACGUCAAAUCAUCAUGCCCUUAUGUUCUGGGCUACACACGUGCUACAAUGGCCGGUACAGACGGACGCAAAGCCGCGAGGUGGAGCAAAUCCUAAAAAGCCGGUCUCAGUUCGGAUUGCAGGCUGCAAUUCGCCUGCAUGAAGUCGGAAUCGCUAGUAAUCGCAGGUCAGCAUACUGCGGUGAAUACGUUCCCGGGCCUU